Lolium perenne is the source of this 1825-nucleotide non-coding RNA. The record is from RefSeq and is a predicted model, not a curated record. NCBI's taxonomy places the organism in Eukaryota, Viridiplantae, Streptophyta, Magnoliopsida, Poales, Poaceae.
GCUCAUCAUUUCCCCACCGAGCUAUUCGAGAAGCAACGGCGGCUCGAGGGCAGUGGGGGUGGGUUGUCGGCCGGAGCCUCGCCGGAGCGCUGCAUCGCCGUAUAACUCGCCGACGAGCUCGUGCUGCCUGAUUCUAUCAGGUUCAGAGGGUGUGCCGGAGGUGGAUGAUCACCAGCAGCAUCGAUUGCAAUGAAGACUCUGGCAGCAAGAUCGCCAUUGGUGGCGCUAGCCCUGUGCCUAUGCCUCUCGUUUGCGUUCGCGUCGAGGGAUGUGGAAGAGGUAGGAUGGAGGACAGCAGAAGGUCGGGCGGAAUGGGGAAAAGGGCAUUCCGGCGACGGUGGCCGGCCGUACUACUUCGGCGAGGAAAGCUUCCGUGAGUGGUCGCGCACGCCUCUCGGCCACUUCAAGCUGCUAGAGCGGUUCGACGACAAACUGCUGCGUGGCUCCGUGGGCGACUACCGCGUGGCGUACCUGGAAGUGGCGCCGCGCGCGUUCCUGCAGCCCAGCCACUUCGACGCCGACAAGGUCUUGUACGUGAAGGAAGGCGAGGGCGUGCUGGUGCUGCUGAGGAAGGGGAGGCGGGAGUCGUUGUGCUUGAGGGAAGGCGACGUGAUGGUCAUCCCGGCCGGCUCCAUCCUGUACUCCGCCAACACACACCGCUCCAAGUGGCUCCGCGUCGUCAUGCUCCUCAACUACGCCAGCUUUGAGGAAUUCUUCCCUGUUGGAGGCGAGGGCCCGGAUUCUUACUUGAGCGCCUUCAGCGACGAGGUUCUCCAGGCGGCAUUCAAUUCGCGCCGGGAUGAACUGGAGAGAGUGUUCGAGAGGCAGAGCAAGGGGGAGAUAUGGCAGGCGUCGGAGGAGCAGAUCCAGGAGCUGAGCAGGUUGUGCUCCAGGGGCGGCGGGGGCUCAGGCUCCAAGGAGGAGGAAAUCAAGCCGACCAGCCUCCUCGGCCAGAAGCCCCGCUACUCAAACAACAACGGCAGGAUGCACGUGAUCACCGGCGACGAGUGCCGCCACCUCCGUGACCUCGACAUGGAAGUCGGCAUCGCCAACAUCACCAGCGGGUCGAUGAUGGCACCGAGAUACACCACCCGCGCGACCACGAUCGCCGUGGUCGUGGAGGGGAGAGGCUACUUCGAGAUGGCGUGCCCGCACAAGUCCGACUCCGGCCGGUCGGAGCGCCGCGAGCAUGGCAGUGAGGAGCAGCAGAUGAUGAAAUCGAGAGGGUACAAGCAAGUGACGGCCCAGAUCAAGGAGGGGUCGGUCAUCGUGCUCCCGGCGGGCUACCCGGCGACGUUCGUGGCCGGGAACGAUGGGAACCUGGCCGUGGUCUGCUUCGGCGUGGGCUCUGGCAACGACGAGGAGGUGUUCCUGGCGGGCGGCAACAGCUUGCUGAAGCAGCUGGACCCGCCGGCCAAGGCGAUCGUGUUCGGUGAACAGGGCAGGGAGGCGGCAGACAGGGUCAUCGGCGCGCAGACGGAGUCCGUGUUCCUACACGGCCCGCAGCAGCAGAGCCGUGGCUGCGUCUCCAACAUGUGAGUGGUAGUGCGACGAUCUAGAGCGAGGUUUUGUGCGCAGCGCGCAUGCAGUUCGAUCAGGUAGCCGCUGGAAUAAGUAGCAGCUGGCACGUACCCGCCGAGCCAGCUGAGAAGAUGCUAAGUACUGUAUGUAUGAGCAGGAAGUAUAUUGCUACUGUAACGGUGGAGCUAAAGGAAGGCCUUCUGGAACAGUUUUUUUUCAUGAAAUGGAACCCUUUAUAGGCAAACAAGGACUGCCAGUUUGCCUAAACAGAGGUGUUGUUGAAUUAAUUGCUGACCAUGUAGUU